GACGAACGCUGGCGGCGUGCUUAACACAUGCAAGUCGAACGGACAGGCCCUGCUUUUGUUGGGUGCUCGAGUGGCGAACGGGUGAGUAACACGUGAGUAACCUGCCCUUGACUUUGGGAUAACUUCAGGAAACUGGGGCUAAUACCGGAUAGGAGCUCCUGCUGCAUGGUGGGGGUUGGAAAGUUUCGGCGGUUGGGGAUGUACUCGCGGCUUAUCAGCUUGUUGGUGGGGUAGGGGCUUACCAAGGGUUUGACGGGUAGCCGGCAUGAGGGGGUGACCGGCCACAAGGGGACUGAGGGACGGCCCAGACUCCUACGGGAGGCAAUAGUGGGGAAUAUUGCACAAUGGGCGGAAGCCAGAUGCAGCAACGCCGCGUGCGGGAUGCCGGGCUUUGGGGUGUAAACCGCUUUCGGCGGUGACGAAGCGUGAGUGACGGUAAUGGGUAAAGAAGCACCGGCUAACUACGUG
RNAcentral lists this ribosomal RNA (468 nucleotides) under uncultured bacterium. RNAcentral describes it as "partial 16S ribosomal RNA". It matches the Rfam family "Bacterial small subunit ribosomal RNA", at positions 28 to 507 of the family's 1533-position model. The record is from RNAcentral.